UGGGGAAUUUUGGACAAUGGGCGAAAGCCUGAUCCAGCAAUGCCGCGUGUGUGAAGAAGGCCUUCGGGUUGUAAAGCACUUUUGUCCGGAAAGAAAUCCUUGGCUCUAAUACAGUCGGGGGAUGACGGUACCGGAAGAAUAAGCACCGGCUAACUACGUGCCAGCAGCCGCGGUAAUACGUAGGGUGCAAGCGUUAAUCGGAAUUACUGGGCGUAAAGCGUGCGCAGGCGGUUUGCUAAGACCGAUGUGAAAUCCCCGGGCUCAACCUGGGAACUGCAUUGGUGACUGGCAGGCUAGAGUAUGGCAGAGGGGGGUAGAAUUCCACGUGUAGCAGUGAAAUGCGUAGAGAUGUGGAGGAAUACCGAUGGCGAAGGCAGUCCCCUGGGCCAAUACUGACGCUCAUGCACGAAAGCGUGGGGAGCAAACAGGAUUAGAUACCCUGGUAGUCCACGCCCUAAACGAUGUCAACUAGUUGUUGGGGAUUCAUUUCCUUAGUAACGUAGCUAACGCGUGAAGUUGACCGCCUGGGGAGUACGGUCGCAAGAUUAAAACUCAAAGGAAUUGACGGGGUCAUAGCUGUUUCCU
Molecule: ribosomal RNA, 585 nt
Filed under: uncultured bacterium
Lineage: Bacteria
Description: partial 16S ribosomal RNA
Rfam family: Bacterial small subunit ribosomal RNA
Source: RNAcentral